RNAcentral lists this transfer RNA (60 nucleotides) under Dipodomys ordii (Ord's kangaroo rat). It matches the Rfam family "tRNA", at positions 7 to 64 of the family's 71-position model. From Rfam's summary of the family: Transfer RNA (tRNA) molecules are approximately 80 nucleotides in length. Their secondary structure includes four short double-helical elements and three loops (D, anti-codon, and T loops). The record is from Rfam by way of RNAcentral. Lineage: Eukaryota; Metazoa; Chordata; Mammalia; Rodentia; Heteromyidae.
GUGGCUCAGUGGUAGAGCGCUUGCCUCACAUGCGUGAGGCCCUGGGUUCGAUUCCUCAGC